This 484-nucleotide ribosomal RNA is filed under the name uncultured bacterium. RNAcentral's name for it is "partial 16S ribosomal RNA". It matches the Rfam family "Bacterial small subunit ribosomal RNA", at positions 30 to 507 of the family's 1533-position model. The record is from RNAcentral.
AUUGAACGCUGGCGGCAGGCCUAACACAUGCAAGUCGAGCGGAUGAAGGGAGCUUGCUCCUGGAUUCAGCGGCGGACGGGUGAGUAAUGCCUAGGAAUCUGCCUGGUAGUGGGGGCUAACGUCCGGAAACGGGCGCUAAUACCGCAUACGUCCUGAGGGAGAAAGUGGGGGAUCUUCGGACCUCACGCUAUCAGAUGAGCCUAGGUCGGAUUAGCUAGUUGGUGGGGUAAAGGCCUACCAAGGCGACGAUCCGUAACUGGUCUGAGAGGAUGAUCAGUCACACUGGAACUGAGACACGGUCCAGACUCCUACGGGAGGCAGCAGUGGGGAAUAUUGGACAAUGGGCGAAAGCCUGAUCCAGCCAUGCCGCGUGUGUGAAGAAGGUCUUCGGAUUGUAAAGCACUUUAAGUUGGGAAGAAGGGCAGUAAGUUAAUACCUUGCUGUUUUGACGUUACCAACAGAAUAAGCACCGGCUAACUUCGUG